GGGCCCGCACAAGCGGUGGAGCAUGUGGUUUAAUUCGAUGAUACGCGAGGAACCUUACCAGGGCUUAAAUGCAGAAUGACAGAUUGGGAAACCAGUCCUUCUUCGGACAUUUUGCAAGGUGCUGCAUGGUUGUCGUCAGCUCGUGCCGUGAGGUGUCAGGUUAAGUCCUAUAACGAGCGCAACCCCUAUUCUUAGUUGCCAGCGGGUAAUGCCGGGAACUCUAAGGAGACUGCCAGCGCAAGCUGCGAGGAAGGUGGGGAUGACGUCAAAUCAUCACGGCCCUUACGUCCUGGCUACACACGUGCUACAAUGGUAUCUACAACAGGAAGCAAAACAGCGAUGUUAAGCA
This 349-nucleotide ribosomal RNA is filed under the name uncultured bacterium. RNAcentral's name for it is "bacterial SSU rRNA". It matches the Rfam family "Bacterial small subunit ribosomal RNA", at positions 917 to 1269 of the family's 1533-position model. The record is from RNAcentral.